GCCUACGGGGCGCAGCAGUAGGGAAUUUUCGUCAAUGGGCGCAAGCCUGAACGAGCAAUGCCGCGUGAGUGAAGAAGGGUUUCGGCUCGUAAAGCUCUGUUGGUAGUGAAGAAAGAUAGAGGUAGUAACUGGCCUUUAUUUGACGGUAAUUACUUAGAAAGUCACGGCUAACUACGUGCCAGCAGCCGCGGUAAUACGUAGGUGGCAAGCGUUGUCCGGAUUUAUUGGGUGUAAAGAGAGUGCAGGCGGGUCAAUAAGAUUGAUGUGAAAAC
This 272-nucleotide ribosomal RNA is filed under the name uncultured bacterium. Its description in RNAcentral is "partial 16S ribosomal RNA". It matches the Rfam family "Bacterial small subunit ribosomal RNA", at positions 337 to 601 of the family's 1533-position model. The record is from RNAcentral.